UUAUAAUCUCGCCGUUCUGGUGCCCGCGCAUGCGCUCCGCAUGUGCAGUUAAACGGGAAACACGAGGCAAAGGCGCUGCGCGCCCACGCCGAGGUGUGCUGCCCCCGCAACGGUCAACAAGCACCGCUUCGCAUACGCGAAGCGGUAGGCUGCUCCAAACACCACUGUGCCGACAGGCAUAGGAAGGUGGCGCAGUCCGUCUUGCGAGCCCGGAUACCGGCCAGACAGGUGGAAGCGAC
Molecule: non-coding RNA, 239 nt
Filed under: Massilia sp.
Lineage: Bacteria; Pseudomonadati; Pseudomonadota; Betaproteobacteria; Burkholderiales; Oxalobacteraceae
Source: RNAcentral